GAUGAACGCUAGCUACAGGCUUAACACAUGCAAGUCGAGGGACCGGCGCACGGGAGAGUAACACGUAUCCCACCUGCCCUGUACUCGGGGACAGCCUGUCGAAAUAAAGAUUAAUACCCGAUAUAAAGGAUGGGGAUGCGUUCAGUUAGGUUGUUGGUGAGGGAACGGCUCACCAAGCCUUCGAUGGCUAGGGGUGCUGAGAGUAAGGGCCCCAACAUUGGAACUGAGGCACGGUCCCAUCUCCGACGGGAGGCAGCAGUGAGGAAUAUUGGUCAAUCGGCGCUAGCCUGAACCAGCCAAGUAGCGUGAAGGAGGAAGGCUUAUGGGUCGUAAACUUCUUGUAUAUAAGAAUAUGUAUUAUAUGAAUAAGGAUCGGCUAACUCCGUGCCAGCCGCCGCGGUAAUAC
RNAcentral lists this ribosomal RNA (406 nucleotides) under uncultured bacterium. RNAcentral's name for it is "partial 16S ribosomal RNA". It matches the Rfam family "Bacterial small subunit ribosomal RNA", at positions 28 to 526 of the family's 1533-position model. The record is from RNAcentral.